UAAUACAUUAUUUCACCGUGCAAUUCCUCGAAAGUUACACUAACUCUCUCCCGUGCUUUUAUCCUCAGUACCACCUCGGACUGACCGCUAGGCCUGAACUCUACCUCCUGAACACCGUGGACGCCGUCUCGCUGGUAUCUAGAUGACCAACAGCCCAGAAGACUUUAAGAACACUUUCUCUAAGCCCUUUUGUGCCAAGUGUCUGUUAGCAAAUCCCUUAGUUCAGAGGUGAACUUGUUCAAAUGUUUUGAACCAAGGCGAAGAAGAUCUGGAGGAGUCGGGUAAAGCUAAUGGCUGUGAAUGGGUCAGAGACCCCCUCACCUGCAGCAGUCAUUAACGUAGCGGGAGGCAAACAGCGGGCCUGUGGCAGCCCUGCAGUCCCGCACGCAGGCUUGUGUCUGCACCUCUGGGGUUUAAAAUGUAUGGAUAGAUAUAUUUAUGUGGACCCAAACGUGCCAGUUUGGGUAAGAUUUUAAAGUUAUAAAACUUGAUAGAUUUUUAC
This 502-nucleotide long non-coding RNA is filed under the name Rattus norvegicus (Norway rat). RNAcentral's name for it is "long non-coding RNA NONRATT027317". Lineage: Eukaryota; Metazoa; Chordata; Mammalia; Rodentia; Muridae. The record is from RNAcentral.